This 27-nucleotide non-coding RNA is filed under the name Cricetulus griseus (Chinese hamster). Lineage: Eukaryota; Metazoa; Chordata; Mammalia; Rodentia; Cricetidae. The record is from RNAcentral.
CUCUUUCCGGUGGAGAAGUCUGGAGAC